AGCUCCAAUAGCGUAUAUUAAAGUUGUUGCAGUUAAAAAGCUCGUAGUUGGAUUUUAGAUUAUGUUAAUCGGUCUGCCUAGUGGUAUGAACUGAUUAGCAUUUUCUUCUUCUCGAAGACUAUAUGUGUUCUUAAUCGGAUGUGUAUAGGGUUCGGGACUUUUACUGUGAGAAAAUUAGAGUGUUUAAAGCAGGCGUUUGCUUGAAUAUUGCAGCAUGGAAUAAUGGAAUAGGAUCAUGAUCUUAUUUUGUUGGUUUCUAGGAUCAAGAUAAUGAUUAAUAGGGAUAGUUGGGGGCAUUAAUAUUUAAUUGUCAGAGGUGAAAUUCUUGGAUUUAUGAAAGAUUAACUUCUGCGAAAGCAUUUGCCAAGGAUGUUUUCGUUAAUCAAGAACGAAAGUACGC
Molecule: ribosomal RNA, 400 nt
Filed under: phytoplankton environmental sample
Lineage: Eukaryota
Description: partial small subunit ribosomal RNA
Rfam family: Eukaryotic small subunit ribosomal RNA
Source: RNAcentral